AUACGGGGGGUGCAAGCGUUAUUCGGAUUUAUUGGGCGUAAAGAGCGCGUAGGCGGCUUGGUAAGUCAGAUGUGAAAGCCCGGGGCUCAACCCCGGAAGUGCAUUUGAAACUAUCAGGCUUGAGUAUGGGAGAGGGAAGUGGAAUUCCUGGUGUAGAGGUGAAAUUCGUAGAUAUCAGGAGGAACACCGGUGGCGAAGGCGACUUCCUGGAUCAAUACUGACGCUGAGGCGCGAAGGCGUGGGGAGCAAACAGGAUUAGAAACCCGAGUAGUCC
Molecule: ribosomal RNA, 274 nt
Filed under: uncultured bacterium
Lineage: Bacteria
Description: partial 16S ribosomal RNA
Rfam family: Bacterial small subunit ribosomal RNA
Source: RNAcentral